AUGGAGGCUGCUGUUGUCACCGUUUCCACGGGGGUGAUGAAGCCCCUCCUGUCCAAGCUCUUCAAGCUGCUGCUGGAGGAGCACGGGAAGCUCAAAGGCGUCCGCCAUGACGCCAAGUUCAUAGGAGACGAGCUUCGCAGCAUGAAGGCUGCACUGGAGGUGCUUGCGGAUGAAGAACAACUCGAACCUGCGAUGAGAAUUUGGCGGGAUGAUGUACGUGAGCUUUCUUAUGACAUGGAGGAUUGCAUUGAUGUCUUUGUGGCUCAUGUCGACCAUGAGCCCGAUGGGCGUACCACACUCAAGAAGUUCGUUGACAUGUUGAAGAAGCCGAAACAUCGCCAUCAGACUGCUAGUGAGAUAGUUAAACUCAAGGCCCGUGCAACUCAGGCAAGCGAGAGGCACAAGAGGUAUAAUAUUAUCCGGCCAACACCUUGCAUUAGCUCUUGUUCCAUUGACCCCCGGCUGCCGGCGCUUUACGCGGAGGUUGAUGAACUUGUCGGCAUUGAUGGUCCUAAGGACGAUAUCAUCGACUGGUUUCAGUGGGAGGCUACUUCUACACAGCCUCAAGUGCUGUCUAUUGUUGGUUCUGGCGGUCUUGGCAAGACUACUCUAGCAAACCAAGUCUAUCAUGCAAUGGAAAGCCAUUUUUCAUGUGCAGCGUUUGUGUCGGUUUCUCGAAAUCCUGAUAUGAGAAAGACUCUAAGAGAUAUUGCUGGAGGAGUGGGGUUCUCAGACUACACACUGGAUGAUCAUGUGCAACAACUGAUCAGUAAACUCAGGCAAUAUCUUAAAGACGAAAGGUACUUUGUUGUAAUUGAUGAUGUGUGGAGCGCGGACGCAUGGGAAACUAUCAGGCUUGUAUUAUUGAAUAAUAACCAUGGGAGUAGAAUUAUCACUACAACACGUAAUACUGAAGUCGCAUCAUGUUGUUCUUCGGGUGGUGGUCAUGUUUAUAGAAUGGAACCCCUUGCGUUUGAUGACUCCAAAAGGUUGUUUUUUAGAAGAGCAUUUGGUCCUGAGGAUUUAUGCUAUCCUCAUCUGGAAAAAGUCUCUAAUGAGAUAUUAAGAAAAUGUUCUGGCCUACCAUUGGCUAUUAUUACUGUGUCUAGUUUGUUGGCUGAUCAGCAUGCAGAAGAUGAAUGGAAGAGAGUGUUAGCUGCUAUUGGUUCUGCACUUGCAAAUGAUUCUGGUGCUGAUAAGAUGACAAAGAUAUUAUCUCUGAGCUACUUUGAUCUUCCUCACCAUCUGAGAGCCUGUUUGUUGUACUUGAGUAUAUUUCCAGAAGAUUCUGCUAUCUGGAAACAACAUUUGAUACAUAAAUGGAUUGCUGAAGGAUUCAUUCAUGAGAAACAAGGGCGAAGUCGAUAUGAAAUAGGUGAGACUUAUUUUAACGAGCUUAUUAAUAGAAGCUUGAUCCAACCGGUUGGUGCAACAUUUAGCCAGGUAGAGUCAUGCCAAGUUCAUGAUAUCAUUCUGGAUUUCAUCACAUGCAAAGCUGCCGAAGAGAAUUUUGUCACUAAAUUCAGUGAUGUAGAGGAUGGGCACAAUUCAUGUUACAGAGUCCGGAGGCUUCUUGUCGGGAAUAACAGUAAUGAAAAGGUUGCCAUAUCAGCCCCGAUUCUCUCUCAUGUUCGGUCCCUCAUUAUAUAUGCACAUGCUCCUCAAGUUUCUUUGUUGACUUUCCCAGUUCUUCGUGUCUUGGACCUAGGAAAGUGCUGGUGGUUAGAAGAUCAUCAUGUUGCAAAUAUUGAAAAGCUGCUUCUUCUGAAGUACCAGUGCCUUGCAAAUGUUACACUCCUCCCAAAAAAAUUUGGAGAACUGCAGUACUUGGAAACACUGGGCAUAGCAAAUACCAGAAUUCUAGAAAUGCCAUUAGCUGUUACAAGCCUUCAACGGCUGGCCAGUCUAAAUGUUCAUUACCACAUUAGUUUUCCGGAUGGAAUGAUUGGUAAGAUGCAAAGCUUGGAAGAUAUAGAGACGCUUGGUGUCCACUCCUAUGAACAAGGGAAAUCACUACAAGAAUUCAGCCAGCUAACCAAGAUGAGGAGGUUGAAAGUACAGCUGGGGAUGUUUGAAUUGUGGGAAGGAACAGGUCAAAUUGAGGACCUUCACGGUUACUUGGGAACAUUAGUAUCUUCAUGCAACCUUCGUCAUCUAAAUAUAUCCAAGCUAAGCUCGGAUGUCUUAGCUGUCAAAACUUACUUUCCACUGUCACUGGAGUCGUGGUGCCCGACUACUCCCUGCAGCCUUCAGGAGCUUCACAUAACAUACUGUUACAUUGACAAGGUUCCAAACUGGAUGAGCUUGCUUCGCAAUCUUAGAGAAUUAGAAAUCUAUGUCGUCAGUGUGAGACCAGAAGAUGUUAGAAUCCUUGGAUCAAUACCAACUUUGCUUAUCCUCAAACUAAAGACUUUCAAUGGCACCGAUGGAAGAAUUCUCAUUCAUGGGUUCAGCAAUUUGAAAUAUUUCCAUUUGGAACUCCUUUAUUGUGGGACCUCACUGGAGUUUGAAGAGGGAUCAAUGCCAAGGCUUGAGCACCUGGAGCUGGAGUUCCGUGUGCAUCAGAUGGAUUGCCUGAAUGGUUCUCUCAAUUUCGGUAUCCAACACCUCUCUGCCCUCCGCAAAGUUGAGGUCUGUAUUUUUGGCAACUUUGGCAACAAAGACAAUGCGAUGGCAGGUCUGGAAUGUUGCUUUGGCAAAUCCAUUGGAAUCCUUAUUGAAGCUGACAUUGAGAUGCUUCCCAAUUGUUCCAGUUUCCUUUUACAAUAUGGAAAUGUAGCAUACGGAAACGUGGCCUGCGAACAUUACACAAAAAUGGUAAGUUCUCUACUAGAAUCGGUAGCAUUGGUUACUUCGGUUCAUCCUCUUAAUUUUCUACUCACCACUUUAUUUCUUUCUUCCAUGCCGCAAAAUUUUGGCCAGCCGUUACUGAAGUAUCACCAAAGAAGUAGCCAUGGACAGGGGCACUGGAAGCUAGCUAUCCAUGUGCCAGAACCAUAA
Molecule: ribosomal RNA, 3000 nt
Filed under: Triticum aestivum (bread wheat)
Lineage: Eukaryota; Viridiplantae; Streptophyta; Magnoliopsida; Poales; Poaceae
Description: partial small subunit ribosomal RNA
Source: RNAcentral